RNAcentral lists this transfer RNA (64 nucleotides) under Anoplotermes sp. G17-067. Its description in RNAcentral is "tRNA-Glu". It matches the Rfam family "tRNA". Rfam says of the family: Transfer RNA (tRNA) molecules are approximately 80 nucleotides in length. Their secondary structure includes four short double-helical elements and three loops (D, anti-codon, and T loops). Further hydrogen bonds mediate the characteristic L-shaped molecular structure. tRNAs have two regions of fundamental functional importance: the anti-codon, which is responsible for specific mRNA codon recognition, and the 3' end, to which the tRNAs corresponding amino acid is attached (by aminoacyl-tRNA synthetases). tRNAs cope with the degeneracy of the genetic code in two manners: having more than one tRNA (with a specific anti-codon) for a particular amino acid; and 'wobble' base-pairing, i.e. permitting non-standard base-pairing at the 3rd anti-codon position. Lineage: Eukaryota; Metazoa; Arthropoda; Insecta; Blattodea; Termitidae. The record is from RNAcentral.
AUUUAUAUAGUUUAGGAAAACAUUACAUUUUCACUGUAAAGACAAAGGGAACCUUUUAUAAAUA